Molecule: ribosomal RNA, 452 nt
Filed under: uncultured bacterium
Lineage: Bacteria
Description: bacterial SSU rRNA
Rfam family: Bacterial small subunit ribosomal RNA
Source: RNAcentral
AGAGUUUGAUCAUGGCUCAGAACGAACGCUGGCGGCAUGCCUAACACAUGCAAGUCGAACGAAGCCUUCGGGCUUAGUGGCGCACGGGUGCGUAACGCGUGGGAAUCUGCCCCUCGGUUCGGAAUAACAGUUAGUAAUGACUGCUAAUACCGGAUGAUGACGAAAGUCCAAAGGUUUAUCGCCGAGGGAUGAGCCCGCGUAGGAUUAGCUUGUUGGUGGGGUAAUGGCCCACCAAGGCGACGAUCCUUAGCUGGUCUGAGAGGAUGAUCAGCCACACUGGGACUGAGACACGGCCCAGACUCCUACGGGAGGCAGCAGUGGGGAAUAUUGGACAAUGGGCGAAAGCCUGAUCCAGCAAUGCCGCGUGAGUGAUGAAGGCCUUAGGGUUGUAAAGCUCUUUACCAGGGAUGAUAAUGACAGUACCUGGAGAAUAAGCUCCGGCUAACUCCGUG